RNAcentral lists this ribosomal RNA (447 nucleotides) under uncultured bacterium. RNAcentral describes it as "partial 16S ribosomal RNA". It matches the Rfam family "Bacterial small subunit ribosomal RNA", at positions 29 to 523 of the family's 1533-position model. The record is from RNAcentral.
AACGAACGCUGGCGGCAGGCCUAACACAUGCAAGUCGAGCGAACCGCAAGGUUAGCGGCGGACGGGUGAGUAACGCGUGGGAACGUGCCCUUUGCUACGGAAUAGCCCUGGGAAACUAGGAGUAAUACCGUAUGUGCCCUUUGGGGGAAAGAUUUAUCGGCAAAGGAUCGGCCCGCGUUGGAUUAGGUAGUUGGUGGGGUAAUGGCCUACCAAGCCGACGAUCCAUAGCUGGUUUGAGAGGAUGAUCAGCCACACUGGGUCUGAGACACGGCCCAGACUCCUACGGGAGGCAGCAGUGGGGAAUAUUGGACAAUGGGGGCAACCCUGAUCCAGCCAUGCCGCGUGAGUGAUGAAGGCCUUAGGGUUGUAAAGCUCUUUCGCCGGUGAAGAUAAUGACGGUAACCGGAGAAGAAGCCCCGGCUAACUUCGUGCCAGCCGCCGCAGUAA